GGUGGUUUAGUGUGUUCUUAGGUUUCUAAUGUUGCAUGACAGACUUUAUGAGAAGUCGUGUCCAUUGAAGAAAAAGGACUGACUCACAGUCAAGGUGACCCGUUGGCUGCUACCCUUGAAUAUCCCCUUUUACUUCAUGAAAGUGAUAACGGGCCAUCUUGAUUUGAGGGUAAGUCCUUCGCUUCUUAUCAUGGGCUUCAUCCAUUGGUGAAAACCAAUGACAACCAGGAGGAAAAGAGUGCGCUGGUCGAACGGGAACUUGCAAGCU
Long non-coding RNA from Daphnia pulicaria, 268 nucleotides. RefSeq lists it as uncharacterized. NCBI's taxonomy places the organism in Eukaryota, Metazoa, Arthropoda, Branchiopoda, Diplostraca, Daphniidae. The transcript is spliced from 3 exons. The record is from RefSeq and is a predicted model, not a curated record.